Molecule: ribosomal RNA, 492 nt
Filed under: uncultured bacterium
Lineage: Bacteria
Description: bacterial SSU rRNA
Rfam family: Bacterial small subunit ribosomal RNA
Source: RNAcentral
AGAGUUUGAUCCUGGCUUAGGAUGAACGCUGGCGGCGUGCUUCAUACAUGCAAGUCGAACGAGAAAUGAUAGCUUGCUAUCAUGGAAAGUGGCGGACGGGUGAGUAAUACAUAGGGAAUCUGCCCUUAGCCGGGGGACAACAGUUGGAAACGACUGCUAAUACCGCAUAUGAGUAUAGUUGAGAUAUUAUACUUGAAAACUCCGGUGGCUAAGGAUGAGCCUGUGCCUGAUUAGUUAGUUGGCGGGGUAAAGGCCCACCAAGGCGACGAUCAGUAGCUGGUUUGAGAGGAUGAUCAGCCACAAUGGGACUGAGACACGGCCCAUACUCCUACGGGAGGCAGCAGUAGGGAAUUUUGCGCAAUGGGCGAAAGCCUGACGCAAGCAACGCCGCGUGAUUGAUGAAGCCCUUAGGGGUGUAAAGAUCUGUCAGUAGGGACGAAAGAUGACGGUACCUACAGAGGAAGCACCGGCUAACUCCGUGCCAGCAGCGGC